AGAUUGAACGCUGGCGGCAUGCCUAACACAUGCAAGUCGAACGGGAGUAGCAAUACUCUAGUGGCGGACGGGUGAGGAAUACGUAGGAAUUUGCCCUUAAGUGGGGGAUAACCCGGGGAGACCCGGAUUAAUACCGCAUGACCUCGAAAGAGCAAAGUGGGGGAUCGCAAGACCUCACGCUUUUGGAGAAGCCUACGUCGGAUUAGCUAGUUGGUGAGUAAUGGCACACCAAGGCGACGAUCCGUAACUGGUCUGAGAGAUGAUCAGUCACACCGGACUGACGACACGGGUCCGACUCCGUACGGGAGCAGCGAGUGGGAAUAUGGACAUGGGCACGAAGCUGAUCCAGACCAGUACCGGCGGUGGGUAGAAGGUAACGCCGUUGGUUAGUAACGUCCGUUUGGUA
This 406-nucleotide ribosomal RNA is filed under the name uncultured soil bacterium. RNAcentral's name for it is "bacterial SSU rRNA". It matches the Rfam family "Bacterial small subunit ribosomal RNA", at positions 26 to 441 of the family's 1533-position model. The record is from RNAcentral.